AACGCGAAGAACCUUACCUACCCUUGACAUCCUACGAAGAUUGCAGAGAUGCGAUUGUGCCGAAAGGAACGUAGAGACAGGUGCUGCAUGGCUGUCGUCAGCUCGUGUUGUGAGAUGUUGGGUUAAGUCCCGUAACGAGCGCAACCCUUAUCCUUAGUUGCCAACAUGUAAUGGUGGGGACUCUAAGGAGACUGCUGGUGAAGAACCGGAGGAAGGUGGGGACGACGUCAAGUCAUCAUGGCCUUUAUGGGUAGGGCUACACACGUGCUACAAUGGGCAGUACAGAGGGAAGCGAAGCUGUGAAGUGAAGCGAAUCCCGCAAAGCUGUUCGUAGUCCGGAUUGAAGUCUGCAACUCGACUUCAUGAAGUCGGAAUCGCUAGUAAUCGCGAAUCAGAACGUCGCGGUGAAUACGUUCCCGGGCCUUGUACACACCGCGCAUA
This 441-nucleotide ribosomal RNA is filed under the name uncultured bacterium. Its description in RNAcentral is "bacterial SSU rRNA". It matches the Rfam family "Bacterial small subunit ribosomal RNA", at positions 958 to 1398 of the family's 1533-position model. The record is from RNAcentral.